UGAAGCUAGCAUUGUGAAGGUUGCUUGGAUCCCUCAUGAGUUAGGGGAUGCUGUUGCUUGCAUUUGUGAAGAUGGGAGUUUAUCCAUAUGGGAAGAGCUUGUAGAAGGUACACAACCUUUAAGGGGUGAAGGCCAAGAAUCAAGCUUUAUUUUGGGUUUCACUUCUAAUACUCCACAGCUCAAUUCCCUCAAGAGUUCCAUAGGUGUGGGAAUUUGAUCCAGCUCAU
This is a long non-coding RNA of Theobroma cacao (cacao), 227 nucleotides long. RefSeq lists it as uncharacterized. The record is from RefSeq and is a predicted model, not a curated record. NCBI's taxonomy places the organism in Eukaryota, Viridiplantae, Streptophyta, Magnoliopsida, Malvales, Malvaceae.